This 429-nucleotide ribosomal RNA is filed under the name uncultured bacterium. RNAcentral's name for it is "bacterial SSU rRNA". It matches the Rfam family "Bacterial small subunit ribosomal RNA", at positions 355 to 776 of the family's 1533-position model. The record is from RNAcentral.
UGGGGAAUAUUGGACAAUGGGCGAAAGCCUGAUCCAGCAAUGCCGCGUGUGUGAAGAAGGCCUUAGGGUUGUAAAGCACUUUCAGUGGGGAGGAAGGAUAAUGUGCUAAUACCAUAUUAUUUUGACGUUACCCACAGAAGAAGCACCGGCUAACUCUGUGCCAGCAGCCGCGGUAAUACAGAGGGUGCAAGCGUUAAUCGGAAUUAUUGGGCGUAAAGGGUGUGUAGGUGGUUAGGUAAGUUAGAUGUGAAAUCCCCGGGCUUAACCUGGGAACUGCGUUUAAAACUGCUUAGCUAGAGUAUUGCAGAGGAUAGUGGAAUUUCCAGUGUAGCGGUGAAAUGCGUAGAUAUUGGAAGGAACACCAGUGGCGAAGGCGACUAUCUGGGCAAAUACUGACACUGAGACACGAAAGCAUGGGGAGCAAACAGG